UGGUGACUAUAGCAAGGAGGUCACACCUGUUCCCAUGCCGAACACAGAAGUUAAGCUCCUUAGCGUCGAUGGUAGUYGR
This 79-nucleotide ribosomal RNA is filed under the name Staphylococcus argenteus. Lineage: Bacteria; Bacillati; Bacillota; Bacilli; Caryophanales; Staphylococcaceae. The record is from RNAcentral.